This 844-nucleotide ribosomal RNA is filed under the name Pseudocamarosporium eucalypti. Its description in RNAcentral is "partial large subunit ribosomal RNA". It matches the Rfam family "Eukaryotic large subunit ribosomal RNA", at positions 76 to 937 of the family's 3401-position model. Lineage: Eukaryota; Fungi; Ascomycota; Dothideomycetes; Pleosporales; Didymosphaeriaceae. The record is from RNAcentral.
UGCCCUAGUAACGGCGAGUGAAGCGGCAACAGCUCAAAUUUGAAAUCUGGCUCUCUUUGGGGGUCCGAGUUGUAAUUUGCAGAGGAUGCUUUGGCAUUGGCGGCGGUCUAAGUUCCUUGGAACAGGACAUCGCAGAGGGUGAGAAUCCCGUACGUGGGCGCCUGCCUUUGCCGUGUAAAGCUCCUUCGACGAGUCGAGUUGUUUGGGAAUGCAGCUCUAAAUGGGAGGUAAAUUUCUUCUAAAGCUAAAUACCGGCCAGAGACCGAUAGCGCACAAGUAGAGUGAUCGAAAGAUGAAAAGUACUUUGGAAAGAGAGUCAAAAAGCACGUGAAAUUGUUGAAAGGGAAGCGCUUGCAGCCAGACUUGCCCGCAGUUGCUCACCUAGGCUUUGGCCUGGGGCACUCUUCUGCGGGCAGGCCAGCAUCAGUUUGGGCGGUUGGAUAAAGGCCUCUGUCACGUAUCUUCCUUCGGGAUGACCUUAUAGGGGAGGCGUAAUGCAACCAGCCCGGACUGAGGUCCGCGCAUCUGCUAGGAUGCUGGCGUAAUGGCUGUAAGCGGCCCGUCUUGAAACACGGACCAAGGAGUCUAACAUCUAUGCGAGUGUUUGGGUGUCAAGCCCGGGCGCGCAAUGAAAGUGAACGGAGGUGGGAACCCUUUGGGUGCACCAUCGACCGAUCCUGAUGUCUUCGGAUGGAUUUGAGUAAGAGCAUAGCUGUUGGGACCCGAAAGAUGGUGAACUAUGCUUGAAUAGGGUGAAGCCAGAGGAAACUCUGGUGGAGGCUCGCAGCGGUUCUGACGUGCAAAUCGAUCGUCAAAUUUGGGCAUAGGGGCGAAAGACUAAUCG